Molecule: ribosomal RNA, 57 nt
Filed under: uncultured bacterium
Lineage: Bacteria
Description: partial 16S ribosomal RNA
Source: RNAcentral
GGUCCCCGACAUUGGGAACUGACGACACGGUCCCAAACGUCCUACGGAAGGCAGCAG